Molecule: long non-coding RNA, 222 nt
Filed under: Elaeis guineensis (African oil palm)
Lineage: Eukaryota; Viridiplantae; Streptophyta; Magnoliopsida; Arecales; Arecaceae
Description: long non-coding RNA (EGUI_LNC022805)
Source: RNAcentral
GGGGACUUUGCGGGGUAGCUAAUAGUCUUUCCCUAAAGAGGCUGUGUACUGACAGUAUGAUUUUAUUUUCUGACAAAGAUGUUCAAGGAAUUCAAACUCUUCGUAAUAAUGCUAUUGUUGUCUCUAUGAUAAUAGUAAAAUAUGAUAUAAAAAAAUAUUAAUGGAUAAUAAAAGCUUUGCUGACAUAUUAUUCUAUGAUGCAUUCUAAAAAAUGAAUAUGAU